AGUGAACGCUGGCGGCGUGCCUAAUACAUGCAAGUCGAACGGAGUGGCGCACGGGUGAGUAAUAUAUAGCUAAUCUGCCCCUUGCUGGAGGACAACAGUUAGAAAUGACUGCUAAUACUCCAUAGCAAGGGAUGAGACUAUAUCGUAUCAGCUAGUCGGUGGGGUAACGGCCUACCGAGGCUAUGACGCGUAACUGGGCUGAGAGGAUGAUCAGUCACAUUGGAACCGGGACACAGUCCAAACUACUACGGGAGGCAGCGGUAGUGGAUAUUGCGCAAUGGGGGAAACACAGGCGAAGCAACGCGGCAUGGAGGAUGACACUUUUCGGAGCGUAAACUCCUUUUGUUAGGAAAGCGGUAUCUAACCAGAAAGCCACGGCUAACUACGUGCCAGCAGCCGCGGUAAUUC
RNAcentral lists this ribosomal RNA (408 nucleotides) under uncultured bacterium. RNAcentral describes it as "partial 16S ribosomal RNA". It matches the Rfam family "Bacterial small subunit ribosomal RNA", at positions 29 to 526 of the family's 1533-position model. The record is from RNAcentral.